RNAcentral lists this ribosomal RNA (253 nucleotides) under uncultured bacterium. RNAcentral describes it as "partial 16S ribosomal RNA". It matches the Rfam family "Bacterial small subunit ribosomal RNA", at positions 524 to 776 of the family's 1533-position model. The record is from RNAcentral.
UACGGAGGGUGCAAGCGUUAUCCGGAUUUACUGGGUUUAAAGGGUGCGUAGGCGGAUAGGUAAGUCAGGGGUGAAAUCCUGGAGCUUAACUCCAGAACUGCCUUUGAUACUAUCUAUCUUGAAUAUUGUGGAGGUUUGCGGAAGAUGUCAUGUAGCGGUGAAAUGCUUAGAUAUGACAUGGAACACCUAUUGCGAAGGCAGCAGGCUACGCAUAUAUUGACGCUGAGGCACGAAAGCGUGGGUAGCAAACAGG